GCAUUUUCGAGCCAAAAGUGUGAAACGCCUAUGCGGGGAAAUCAGUCCACUGGACUGAUUUCUGAUCCCGCUUCAGUGCGUCGGAUAAUGCGACAAAACAAAUAGUUAGAGCGGUUCCGGUUAAGACGAAACCGUUGGAGCCGGUACAGUGACCGGCUCCA
This 161-nucleotide unclassified non-coding RNA is filed under the name Brucella sp. 191011898. RNAcentral's name for it is "BASRCI153". The record is from RNAcentral. Lineage: Bacteria; Pseudomonadati; Pseudomonadota; Alphaproteobacteria; Hyphomicrobiales; Brucellaceae.